AUUAUUGGGCUUAAAGCGUCCGUAGCCGGCUUAGCAAGUCUUCUGUUAAAUUCAGCGACCUAAUCGUUGAGCCGCGGGAGAUACUACUAGGCUAGGAGGCGGGAGAGGCCGACGGUAUUCCCGGGGUAGGGGUGAAAUCCUAUAAUCCCGGGAGGACCACCAGUGGCGAAGGCUGUCGGCUAGAACGCGCUCGACGGUGAGGGACGAAAGCUGGGGGAGCGAACCGGAUUAGAUACCCGGGUAGUCCCAGCUGUAAACGAUGCGGGCUAGGUGUUGAGGUGGCUACGAGCCACUUCAGUGCCGCAGGGAAGCCAUUAAGCCCGCCGCCUGGGGAGUACGGCCGCAAGGCUGAAACUUAAAGGAAUUGGCG
RNAcentral lists this ribosomal RNA (370 nucleotides) under uncultured archaeon. RNAcentral describes it as "bacterial SSU rRNA". It matches the Rfam family "Archaeal small subunit ribosomal RNA", at positions 500 to 870 of the family's 1478-position model. The record is from RNAcentral.